GAAAAUCUAAGGUUUCUUGGGGAAGGUUCGUCCGCCCAAGGUAAGCCGGGAGCUAAGGCGAGGCCGAAAGGCGUAGUCGAUGCACAUACGGUAGAAAUUCCGUAGCCGGCGCAACUGUUAAGAUCACUGACACAUGAGUAUAGCUCUACCGGGCGUUGGUUGCCCCGGGCGUAAGCGAGCCGAAUGAGGCGAAGUGAGUGAAGCUUGUGGCGAGAAAAGGUGAUUGGAUUGGUUGUGCUGCCCGUACCGCAAACCGACACAGGUAGAUGAGGAGAAGAUCCUAAGGCCAUCGGGAGAAGGGUUGUUAAGGAACUAGGCAAAUUGACCCCGUAACUUCGGGAGAAGGGGUGCCUACGAGAGUAGGCCGCAGAGAAUCGGCCCAAGCAACUGUUUACCAAAAACACAGGUCUCUGCUAAAUCGAAAGAUGACGUAUAGGGGCUGACGCCUGCCCGGUGCUGGAAGGUUAAGAGGAGGACUUAGGGAAACCGAAGGUCUGAAUUGAAGCCCCAGUAAACGGCGGCCGUAACUAUAACGGUCCUAAGGUAGCGAAAUUCCUUGUCAGGUAAGUUCUGACCCGCACGAAAGGCGUAAUGAUUUGGGCACUGUCUCAACAGCCCGCCCGGCGAAAUUGUAGUACCGGUGAAGAUGCCGGUUACCCGCAACUAGACGGAAAGACCCCAUGGAGCUUUACUGCAGCUUAAUACUGAGAUUCGGUAAAUCAUGUACAGGAUAGGUGGGAGACUAAGAAGCCAGGCCGUCAGGUUUGGUGGAGUCGCCCUUGGGAUACCACCCUUGGUUUGCUGGGUUUCUAACCUGCGGCCCUGAAUCGGGUCGGGGGACACUGUUAGGCGGGCAGUUUGACUGGGGCGGUCGCCUCCUAAAAUGUAACGGAGGCGCUCAAAGGUUGGCUCAGCAUGGAUGGAAACCAUGCAAUGAGUGUAAACGUAUAAGCCAGCCUGACUGCGAGACCGACGGGUCGAGCAGAGACGAAAGUCGGAGUUAGUGAUCCGGUGGUAUGUGAGUGGAAAUGCCAUCGCUCAACGGAUAAAAGCUACCCUGGGGAUAACAGGCUGAUCUCCCCCAAGCGUCCACAGCGACGGGGAGGUUUGGCACCUCGAUGUCGGCUCGUCGCAUCCUGGGGCUGAAUUAGGUCCCAAGGGUUUGGCUGUUCGCCAAUUAAAGCGGCACGCGAGCUGGGUUCAGAACGUCGUGAGACAGUUCGGUCCCUAUCUGUUGCGGGCGUAGGAGAUUUGAAGGGAGCUGACCUUAGUACGAGAGGACCGGGUUGGACGUACCUCUGGUGUACCAGUUGUUCUGCCAAGGGCAUGGCUGGGUAGCUACGUACGGACGAGAUAAACGCUGAAGGCAUCUAAGCGUGAAACUCUCCCUGAGAUAAGAUCUCCACUGAGGCUCGACGUAGACUAUGUCGUUGAUAGGUCAGAGGUGGAAGCACAGCAAUGUGUGCAGCUGACUGAUACUAAUAAGCCGAAAGCUUGACCA
Molecule: ribosomal RNA, 1501 nt
Filed under: human metagenome
Description: bacterial LSU rRNA
Rfam family: Bacterial large subunit ribosomal RNA
Source: RNAcentral